This is a non-coding RNA of Lactuca sativa (garden lettuce), 4095 nucleotides long. NCBI's taxonomy places the organism in Eukaryota, Viridiplantae, Streptophyta, Magnoliopsida, Asterales, Asteraceae. The record is from RefSeq and is a predicted model, not a curated record.
AGACCUGUCUGGUAAUUGGUAUGGUAGCUUCCCUAGCCCAUAGACCAAGCCCCAAGGAUCCAGUCUUUAAUCUUUGUUUAUCCUUUUAGACAAUUAUGCGACAAAAAAUGAGCAGCAGACCAGGACUCUCCUCCGAUUUCGACAAGAAAGCCCAAGAUCUGUUAACGAGAAAGAACCUAAAGGAUCAGAAAGUCUCUGUUUUAGCGAGCAGUGUUACGGAAUUUUAAGGCAAAAUGUUAUGCCUCUUCCGCACACAGUGGGGUCCUACCUGGCAAUGGUGGCCCCACACGGGAACACCCUGCCACCUAGUGAGGCCACACAACAUCACGGGAACAACUCUCUCUUUUCUCUUCUAUUUCUUUUUUGACAGUUAAAAAGUUUAAGAAUUGAAAGAUGGAAUCUUCAUCAUCAUCAUCGGAUGAUUGGUCGAAGGAUUGUAGCACAAUUUUUCUCACAACAAUCGUAGGAGCAGCAAGCCUCAUUUUGGCUGCUGAAGCUGAAAGUUCACUUUCAAGAACAGGAAGAGCUGCUUUAAACAGAGAUCGUGAAGCUGCACAGGAUAGUCUCAAUACUGUAAGAUAUUCACCAAAGAGACCAGUUGAGAAUGAUGUUAAUGGGAUGAAUCUAGUGUCAAACACUAGAUCCACCUCAGGAGCUAAAAGUCAAACCAUUGGAGCCAAAAGGCAAAAGAAAACAAACGAAGGCUUAAAAGAUACGGGUUUGCAAAUAAAUGGUCAUCCUCAGACAAAUGCUUUGGCUUCUGAAAAUGUAGCUACAACCAAUUCUAAAUUGGAGACUGAGAUUGAAAAAUCUCUUUCUAGCGGGCAGCAGGAUGCGUUGAAUUCAAAAAAACGUCCUUGUGCCUUUUGUCAUUCUUCUAGUCAGACAGAGGGAAGUGGACCAUUUGUGUCUUUUGCCCAAGGGAAGGAAGUAGUGGGGUCUUUGGCCAACUUCUCUAAGGUUACACAUGUUCACAGAAAUUGUAUUCAGUGGGCUCCUCGGAUUUACUUUAAGGAUGGAAUUAUUCAGAAUUUAGAAUCAGAAGUGACAAGGGCUAACAAGCUUAAAUGCAGCAGCUGUGGUAAAAAGGGAGCUGGUCUUGGCUGCUAUAUGGAGACAUGCCAAAGAAGUUACCAUGUGCCUUGUGCAUAUUACAUUCCUGAGUGCAGAUGGGAUGACACCUAUUUAAUGUUAUGUCCAAAGCAUAGAAAAAUGAAAUUUCCAAGCGAAAUGGAUGCGGAUGAUGUGAAGCAAGACACUGAGAAAAGAACAUCUACACAUCUGAAUCCCUGCACAACACCGUUGGAUGCCAGACAGAAUUUGGUGUUUUGUGGCUCGGAUCUUUCUACAGAAGAAAAGUGCUCUGUGGUUGAAUUUGCAAGCAAUAAUGAGGCAGUAGUGUUCAGAUACUGGAAACCUAAUGUUACCCAUGUCAUUGCUGCCACAGAUUCAAAUGGUGCAUGCACAAGGACAUAUAAAGUUCUGAUGGCUAUUUUGAAUGGAGUAUGGAUUGUUAGUGUUGAAUGGGUAAAUGCUUGUAUGGAAGCUCGGUGUCUUGUGAAUGAAGAACCAUAUGAAGUUCAUCUAGAUACCCAUGGCUGUACUGGUGGUCCCAAAGCUGGGAGGCUAAGAGUUCUAAAUAAUUAGGUUGGUUCCUCUGGACUCGGUUCUUUCCUCAAAAAGUACUCUCAGUAUAGAACUUCUACGAGGAUUUCGAUUUUCAUCAGCUUUUACGGCUUCACUAACCCUUCAGACUCAUUUAAAAGUAGUGUCAUUGAGAUGCCUCAUGGACCGCUAAAAACACCCGCUACCUGAGACACUUCUCAAACACAGCUAAGACAUUGACAUGAGAUUUUUUCCAGCCAUGCCCAACAAAAUACCCAAAAUGCCCUUGAAUUGUUCCAGCGUCCAUAUUGCGUCUGAGAUGCUCAUGCGUCUAACUUGGCUUUAGAGGGCGUUUUAAGAUUUAUUUGACCACUUUUCACUUUUUCUCUCACAAAAAGGCAGUCACCCCACCAAAAUUUUUGCAACUUCAGAGCUAAAAAAAAUCACCAUUUUUCAUCGUUAUUAUUGUUAUUAUUUUUGCAAAAUCGUCUAAUCAAACACCAAAAUCAUCUAUAUUUAAAAAUAAAUAAAUAAAAGAAUACCACAUUUGGGGCCGAUGUUGAAGUGUAGAAAACUUGGGGUUUCGAAUUUUUGGAGUUUUCUUUCAAGUCUUGUACUUCCUUAAUUAUAUCCAUCAUCAAUUUCAUAUGGCACCUAAAAGAGGUAAAAAUCGACAAUGAUUGCAUCACGAGCAUCAAGUAGUCGGGAAUCGCGUGUCGAUUGAGGAUGUGAGAUAUGAGCACUUCUAUUUGCAUUUAGAUUGUGUUGGCCCGACGCUUUAAGAGUCGACACACCCGCCCGAUAGAGCAUAUGUUGGUUGAGUAUGGUGUGGAGCGGGUUAGCUUUCUGGGGUAUAAUGCUGUGGAGGCUUUUGAGCGAUACGGUUAGGGAGACGUCAUAUAUUUUGAUCUUACAUGCAUAUACGUCGAGUUAGAGUGAGAGUGGAUGCGGAUGCUCUACAAGGAUGAUUUAGAGGGCGGAUUAGAGGGAAUGAGACUAAACGGUGUAGUCAGAGACCAUGAGAUAGCUAUGACCGUCCCAAUGAUUAGGGAGUAUUUCCAUGUUGACAUUGGGUUCACUCCCACAAUUUAGAAAACCUGCCCACAGAGUACUUUUGCAUAGAUACUAAGGGGGGCUGCAAUGACACAUGACGUUUUGGUGCCCGACUCUGUUCUUAUUUCUUUUGUUUAGGAUGCCCUAUGCAAUAUUUGGUGUAAAUGCGCCAUCAAGGAUCGGGUGACAACUCCCUAUAUUUGCCUCAUUUCAACGUUUGUGGUCUGUGAGCCAAGACACAGGAUCCAUCACUUCAAUGGCCUUUCUUUUUCAACACUAUUCUUAGACCCACUAUCGAAUGAAAUCUGUCCGAACGCGACGGGAGUGGGCCUGAGAAUAGUGUUGAACGAGAAAGCCCAUGAAAGUUCCCGAAUCCUAUGUCCUAGUUCUUGGACCAGGAAUGCUGAAAUGAGGCACGUAUGUAGAGUGGUCACCCGACCUUGGUGUCAAAUGUACACCAAAUGUUGCAUAAGCAUAAGACAUUGUAUAUAAAAGAAAUAAAGAUAGAACUGCUCAUCUAAGCAUACAAUACCACAUUGUCUUGUGUCCUCACUGCUCCGACAUCCUUGUCUUGCGGGUUGACGUUUAGAAAGACUAUAUGCCAUAGUGCCUAUGCCAACCACACCUAAUCAACCAAUUGAUCCGCCCUUCGAGUUUGUUCCGUUUAAAUAUCACGUCUAAUAUUAUCCUAAUUUUCACUCGUGCAUCCCUCUCAAGUGUCUAUGUAACGGUACUCCAUGGGUAGAUCAUAACAAUCUCAUGACCUCUAACUGGACCACUCAUUCUCAUCCCCUCUGGUCCACCCUCUAAAUCAUCCAUGCGGAGCGUCUACAUCCAUUCUCACAUUAACUAGACACACAUGCAUGUAUUUUCAAAAUCUUAGUCUCCUCCCCAACUAUAUCGUUCAAAAGUCUCCACAACGUUAUAUACUCGAAAGCUAACCCACUCCACAUCAUACUCAACUAGUAUAUGCUCUAUUGGGUGUGUUGAUUCCCAAAGUGUUGGGCAACCACGAUCUGAAUGCUUGUGGAGGUGCCCAUCCCAGGUCGGUGCAUACCGGUGGUGCCCGACUACUCGAUGCUUUUGUGGUAUUUUCAUGUGUAUCCUUGAAAAUGUGGGUGAUUUUGGUGUUUGAAAGAUUUUGCAAAAAUAUUGGUGGUUUUGAGCUCCAAAAUUGCAAAAAUGGUGGUGGGGUGGCUGCCUUCUCAUGAGAAAGAAAGUGGGGGAGGAGUGGUAAAAUAAAUCCUAAAACGCGCUCUAAAGCUAAGUCAGACGCCGGUACAAUUCAAGGGCCUUUCAGGGUCCAAAACUUUUCAAGAAUUUGGAAUUUUACUUUGUUGGGGAUUAUAUAGAAGCUCACAAGAGUGAUCUCAAAGAGUUGGUUACAACUGCUGGAGGCACAAUUAUCGAGGCCAGGGAUCAAUUACUGUCAUCAAG